ACUCACCCUCAGACUGCAUUCCGAUUGGCUGAGGACAUUCUGGGCGGUCUGCAGCUGACAUUUAAAUGGCAAGGCGGCUCUGGGCUCCUUAGCUGCUGCUGGCUGCUAGUCCAUUGACUCCGGGAAGGCAGACAGGCAUCUCCAUAGAGGGACCACAGCUCGACGAAGAGUACUGUUCGAAUCCUCAUGGUCUGGACACGCUUGUUUGACAUACCGUCUUUUGGUACAGGGUGCUUGUGAAUCUUAUGCGACAUGCGAAUUGGCCGAGAGAGCUACAUCCUUGUGUCAAGGUUAUGGUCAAGAGGAGAGCGCUUGUAUGGUGUGCGUGGGAAGAAACUGAUUCUAUCCUACUCCUGGUCGAUCGGCAACCCAACACAGUGGAAGAUCGUGCUUUCAGUGGCUUCCUUGUAUUCGUGGCGGUCCAGAUCUCACCACAGGAAGAAAAGGGCAUAGAGAUGGGCUGUGUCCUCCAGAUCACUGCCCCACCGGGUGACGAGGGGGCCAUGUCUCCCACCAUUGCCAGGUCUAUGCCACUGGUCACCGGGCCCUCACCAAAGCAGUUCCAGUUUCCUCGACUCCUAUGGCGUAGACGACAACCUCCUCGCCAAAACACCACCCAUCCUAGCAAAGGCUCAGCGUGUCGCUCUCAAAGCAAGACCUUCCUAGUAGGGGAACAUAGUUAAUCACAGAUGGAGUCACGUAGAGUACAAAUACUCCUGGCUUAAUGACCUACCUCUUUAGCGACCGCUCGCACUUACAACCAUCUCUUCACUGUAACUACUUUACUAACUUUAUGUUCUGUAAUACCUUGCACUACUGUGUGUAAAUCCCACAACCUAUGCCAAUUAAAACAAGUGGAAGUUUUCAGUUGGA
This is a long non-coding RNA of Suncus etruscus (white-toothed pygmy shrew), 873 nucleotides long. RefSeq lists it as uncharacterized. The transcript is spliced from 3 exons. The record is from RefSeq and is a predicted model, not a curated record. NCBI's taxonomy places the organism in Eukaryota, Metazoa, Chordata, Mammalia, Eulipotyphla, Soricidae.